Pelobates cultripes (western spadefoot toad) is the source of this 209-nucleotide non-coding RNA. Lineage: Eukaryota; Metazoa; Chordata; Amphibia; Anura; Pelobatidae. The record is from the annotation of a GenBank genome assembly.
UGUAAGUACACGUGUAUGUUGUAUCAGUUAGUUAGUUACACGUAGCUAAGAUACUGUCAUCAAUGUACUGAGCAUGUUCAGGAAUGCAGGAACUGAAAUCACAUUCCUUUCUCCUUUGUUUCGGAUGAGCCAUGUGGUCUGCCCAUAUAAGGAAAUCCAGAUCCUGUCCACCGAUUGGUUAAGGGUAUGUUGCAGGUGGAGCUAUUAAU